This is a long non-coding RNA of Mizuhopecten yessoensis (Yesso scallop), 419 nucleotides long. RefSeq lists it as uncharacterized. The record is from RefSeq and is a predicted model, not a curated record. Lineage: Eukaryota; Metazoa; Mollusca; Bivalvia; Pectinida; Pectinidae. The transcript is spliced from 3 exons.
GUCUUCACAGCUGAGCUGAUUGGUGCUUAGUAUAUCGUACCUACAGCUUCAUUAGUGACAUGCACGUACACCUUUAUUCUAAGAGAAAUCACUAAGGAUAGGACGGGAGACAUAUCUGUGAAGAAAUGGAGAAUACUAUUACACCCCCUCCUACCAACAGUUUAUGGUACACAUCUCUAAGGGGAAGGUCACUGAGAUUGUCCUUGUAAAAUUGUUCAGGAAUCAACGAUACUGAGGAACCUGUGUCCAAUUCCAUUGACAGAGUAUGACCAUUGAGGGAUGGAUGUAUUACAAUUGGAUCCACACCGUUAUGACUGUGAACAUGUAGUAUUGGUUCAUAUGAAUUCUCGUCUGGAACUUGCUCUUCAACAAACUUAACAUUCUUACCGCGUGUAUUUUGACGACCAUUAAAGCCUCUU